Molecule: long non-coding RNA, 339 nt
Organism: Gasterosteus aculeatus aculeatus (three-spined stickleback)
Lineage: Eukaryota; Metazoa; Chordata; Actinopteri; Perciformes; Gasterosteidae
Source: Ensembl
GCAGUUCUCCCAUUGUGGGCCUCCUGCAUCACACUUAUGACAGCAGCACAACAUCACCGCCCAAUCUUUAGAAGAUCAACUUAUCAUUCCAUCAGCUCCACCAUCAGUGGCUGGACUGAGGGCGGACACCCAUCGAUUAAUACUUCAGCAGAAGAUUACAUUUCUUUAACUAAAAUAGAAUUACUACUCAUAAGUUUUUCUUCUUUUUAAAAAAAUAUAUAGGAUAUAAGUUGUUUUCAAUAGCCGUCUGAAAAUCAAUCACUUAAACUGUGUGACCAUUUCCCCUGAAUGUAGAAUCAAUUUUUUAACUUUGGUGUUGGAUGAGUAAUUACCAAUUAA